RNAcentral lists this ribosomal RNA (495 nucleotides) under uncultured bacterium. RNAcentral's name for it is "partial 16S ribosomal RNA". It matches the Rfam family "Bacterial small subunit ribosomal RNA", at positions 28 to 507 of the family's 1533-position model. The record is from RNAcentral.
GACGAACGCUGGCGGCGUGCCUAAUACAUGCAAGUAGAACGCUGAAGGAGGAGCUUGCUUCUCUGGAUGAGUUGCGAACGGGUGAGUAACGCGUAGGUAACCUGCCUGGUAGCGGGGGAUAACUAUUGGAAACGAUAGCUAAUACCGCAUAAGAGUAGAUGUUGCAUGACAUUUGCUUAAAAGGUGCAAUUGCAUCACUGCCAGAUGGACCUGCGUUGUAUUAGCUAGUUGGUGGGGUAACGGCUCACCAAGGCGACGAUACAUAGCCGACCUGAGAGGGUGAUCGGCCACACUGGGACUGAGACACGGCCCAGACUCCUACGGGAGGCAGCAGUAGGGAAUCUUCGGCAAUGGACGGAAGUCUGACCGAGCAACGCCGCGUGAGUGAAGAAGGUUUUCGGAUCGUAAAGCUCUGUUGUAAGAGAAGAACGAGUGUGAGAGUGGAAAGUUCACACUGUGACGGUAUCUUACCAGAAAGGGACGGCUAACUACGUG